Long non-coding RNA from Macadamia integrifolia, 768 nucleotides. RefSeq lists it as uncharacterized. Lineage: Eukaryota; Viridiplantae; Streptophyta; Magnoliopsida; Proteales; Proteaceae. The record is from RefSeq and is a predicted model, not a curated record. The transcript is spliced from 3 exons.
UCGAGCCUUCAAGGUUCCUCUGUGCACGAAACUGUAUUGCAAGAUCUCUCUCUCUCUCUUUCUCUUUCUCGUUCUCUUUCUCUUUCUCUUUCUCUUUCUCUUUCUCUUUCUCUUUCUCUCACUCUCGUUCCCUUUCUUUCUUGAUCUCUUCUCCCUCUUCCUCUGUGCCUUCAUCUCUGAAAAAUCUAAACUUUUUCACUCUCUGUGGGCCUUCUUCUCCUUCAACAACACUGUUCUUAACAUCUGGACUAUUGGAAAAUUUGGAAUCACUCCUCGUUUUGGGGGAAGCGGGGUAUUGAGAAAUAGCCUUUUCAACUUCCUGAUUUCAUUGCUACCACUGGGAUUGAUAAACUAAGUGGCAUUGAUAAACUAAGACAGGACAGCAGUACUUUGGAUUUACCACUGAUGCAUGCACAGCUAUGAGAAUCUUUUGUGAUGGGCCUGAUGGCACAUAUGACCCAUGAUCAAGCAACUCAGCCACAGGAUAGAUAAAAAAUUAUGCUAACAAGGUUCUGUUAGCAAGCACAGAUCCAUAUCGCACUUCAGAUUCCUGUGGUGGUGGGGGCCUUGGCAAUCUGAGUCGCAUGUGAAGGAAGUGCAGGUGCUUAGGUUGCAAAGAGUAUUGUGGAUCUGAUAUUCUGAGAUGAUUAAGAUAAUUGGCCAUGGAAUAAAACCUCUGCUUAAUAUGUUUAAUGUUUAUUUGGUGUAAUAUGUUUCACAUAACUUCAACCAUGAUGUUCACUCAUUGACAACAUGGGGGAACAAUAA